CUGGGCUAUUACUCACAAACCUACAGGUUUGUGAGUAAUAGCCCAGUUAGACU
Oreochromis niloticus (Nile tilapia) is the source of this 53-nucleotide microRNA precursor. Lineage: Eukaryota; Metazoa; Chordata; Actinopteri; Cichliformes; Cichlidae. The record is from Ensembl.